UGGGGUAUAGCCAAGCGGUAAGGCAACAGACUUUGACUCUGUCAUGCGUGGGUUCAAAUCCCGCUGCCCCAACCA
Molecule: transfer RNA, 75 nt
Filed under: Ruminococcus flavefaciens
Lineage: Bacteria; Bacillati; Bacillota; Clostridia; Eubacteriales; Oscillospiraceae
Also listed under: 2 other names
Rfam family: tRNA
About the family: Transfer RNA (tRNA) molecules are approximately 80 nucleotides in length. Their secondary structure includes four short double-helical elements and three loops (D, anti-codon, and T loops).
Source: RNAcentral